Molecule: non-coding RNA, 1466 nt
Organism: Pogona vitticeps (central bearded dragon)
Lineage: Eukaryota; Metazoa; Chordata; Lepidosauria; Squamata; Agamidae
Source: RefSeq, a predicted model, not a curated record
AAAAAUAUUUGUUUUGCUUAGUUUUUUUAAAAACUUUGUUCACAUCCAGAAAGUGCAAUUAACAGAAUUUCUCCUCCCCCCCUUUGCAGGAUAGUGGAAAUAUACAGCAGAAGAUUACAGGUUCAGGAGCGCCUCACCAAACAAAUCGCCAUAGCCAUCACAGAAGCCCUGAAGCCCGCUGGGGUUGGUGUCGUCGUGGAAGCCACGCACAUGUGCAUGGUCAUGCGAGGGGUUCAGAAAAUGAACAGUAAAACUGUAACCAGCACAAUGCUCGGAGUAUUUCGGGAAGACCCAAAGACGCGGGAAGAGUUUUUGACGCUCAUCCGCAGCUGAACGGUGCCAUCCUUUCAGGAAUUCCCCUUCGGACCCGUCUUGUGUUGCGUUCUUUCCACUGCCUCUUCUCCGUCGUCUCCCUUUUCAACGUAUCUUAUCACUUGAAGUUUUCUGUUUAAUUCCAAUCAGAGGUUCUUUCUAGUGAGUCCCACUUAUUCCCUCAUACGGUCUCUUACAUCAAGGGUUCGUCACAGUCCUGGAAAUGUUUUCUUGUUCUCUGUUCAUUGAUUAUUUCAAGGCGGAUUCUCAGUCAGAGUGGGUGCGGUUGGUUGGUUUUGGUUUGGUAAGAAUGGAAUAGAAUUUUAUAAACAGUGCUUUUUGGGGUCAUUUAAAACACGUUGAGUAAGUGUUCCUGCUGAGUGUCUGUGAGAGAGGGCGGGGGUUCCUCUUUCUUUCUAACUUGCCCUUUCUUCUCAAGCCAAAAAACCAAGGAUUGGGCAGCUUCACCUCUGAGAGGAAUAAGGAGGUAAUAAAACAUAAUUGCUGCACUGUGUUACACUGCCCGGUUGAAGCAUCUCAGUGUUGAACUCGAAAAUACCUGGAGGACCAGAGGUUGAGAACUCCUGUAUUAGAACAUAAUCCGAGAACCUUUAUUGGAUUCAUUGUCUCACCUCCUUUUUAAUCCUGGGAAUCGUCUGAAGAAAGAGGCUGAAUUCUCAGUGGCAGAAGCUUGACUCCCCUGCUUGACGAUUCAGAACUAUAAGCCGUGGCUGGGAACGAAGAGGCCCCUUUGCCAAGAAAAAAUUUCAUUAGGUGCUCCCCGAUUCUAAGAGAGGAGAUAUUUUGAGGACAGAGUCCCAUAGCCCGUCUUCUCUUGCCUAUUGAGACCGCUGGAGAUUCAUGCAUUCUCUGUGAUGUUGGUGCAUCUAAACACAGGGUCUGCUGACCCUUAUCCAGUCAACAACCGGUCCCCAGGAAGUGUCUUAUACAGCCCUGGUCAUCAUGCUCCCCUCUAGUUAAAGCUGAUUAAGAACUCUCCUUUGUCUGCUCCCCCUACCACCACCCUGAACAAUAGGUUUCAGAUAACCUGUCCUUAGAAAUAAGAAUGUGUGAAGGGAUGAUUGUGUGUGAUUAUCACAUCAGCAGCUUUUCUCAAGUCCUGCACACUGUGAACUUGCUUGCUUGUGUGAAUU